Molecule: ribosomal RNA, 460 nt
Filed under: uncultured bacterium
Lineage: Bacteria
Description: partial 16S ribosomal RNA
Rfam family: Bacterial small subunit ribosomal RNA
Source: RNAcentral
CCUACGGGAGGCAGCAGUGAGGAAUAUUGGUCAAUGGACGCAAGUCUGAACCAGCCAUGCCGCGUGCAGGAAGACGGCUCUAUGAGUUGUAAACUGCUUUUGUACGAGGGUAAACGCAGAUACGCGUAUCUGUCUGAAAGUAUCGUACGAAUAAGGAUCGGCUAACUCCGUGCCAGCAGCCGCGGUAAUACGGAGGAUUCAAGCGUUAUCCGGAUUUAUUGGGUUUAAAGGGUGCGUAGGCGGUCGGAUAAGUUAGAGGUGAAAACCCGAGGCUCAACCUCGGAAUUGCUGCUGAUACUGUUCGGCUAGAGAGGAGUUGCGGUAGGCGGAAUGUAUGGUGGAGCGGUGAAAUGCUGAGAGAUCAGACAGAACACCGAUUGCGAAGGCAGCUUACCAAGCUACUUCUGACGUUGAGGCACGAAAGCGUGGGGAGCAAACAGGAUUAGAUACCCGUGUAGUC